RNAcentral lists this ribosomal RNA (484 nucleotides) under uncultured bacterium. RNAcentral's name for it is "partial 16S ribosomal RNA". It matches the Rfam family "Bacterial small subunit ribosomal RNA", at positions 30 to 507 of the family's 1533-position model. The record is from RNAcentral.
AUUGAACGCUGGCGGCAGGCCUAACACAUGCAAGUCGAGCGGAUGAAGGGAGCUUGCUCCUUGAUUCAGCGGCGGACGGGUGAGUAAUGCCUAGGAAUCUGCCUGGUAGUGGGGGAUAACGUCCGGAAACGGGCGCUAAUACCGCAUACGUCCUGAGGGAGAAAGUGGGGGAUCUUCGGACCUCCCGCUAUCAGAUGAGCCUAGGUCGGAUUAGCUAGUUGGUGGGGUAAAGGCCUACCAAGGCGACGAUCCGUAACUGGUCUGAGAGGAUGAUCAGUCACACUGGAACUGAGACACGGUCCAGACUCCGACGGGAGGCAGCAGUGGGGAAUAUUGGACAAUGGGCGAAAGCCUGAUCCAGCCAUGCCGCGUGUGUGAAGAAGGUCUUCGGAUGGGAAAGCACUUUAAGUUGGGAGGAAGGGCAGUAAGUUAAUACGUUGCUGUUUUGACGUUACCAACAGAAUAAGCAUCGGCUAACUUCGUG